This 500-nucleotide ribosomal RNA is filed under the name uncultured bacterium. Its description in RNAcentral is "partial 16S ribosomal RNA". It matches the Rfam family "Bacterial small subunit ribosomal RNA", at positions 28 to 507 of the family's 1533-position model. The record is from RNAcentral.
GACGAACGCUGGCGGCGUGCUUAACACAUGCAAGUCGAACGGGUCUGCCCUGUUUUUUGCGGGGUGGGUCAGUGGCGAACGGGUGAGUAACACGUGAGUAACCUGCCCCUCACUUCUGGAUAACCGCUUGAAAGGGUGGCUAAUACGGGGUGUUCUGGCUGUGCCGCAUGGUGUGGCUGGGAAAGAUUCACUUUUGUGGUGUUUUGGUGGGGGAUGGGCUCGCGGCCUAUCAGCUUGUUGGUGGGGCGAUGGCCUGCCAAGGCUUUGACGGGUAGCCGGCCUGAGAGGGUGGGCGGUCACACUGGGACUGAGAUACGGCCCAGACUCCUGCGGGAGGCAGCAGUGGGGGGUAUUGCACAAUGGGCGGAAGCCUGAUGCAGCGACGUCGCGUGAGGGAUGGAGGCCUUCGGGUUGUGAACCUCUUUCGCCGGUGAAGAAGGUCCUGCUCUUUGUGGUGGGGUUGACGGUAGCCGGGUUAUGAAGCGCCGGCUAACUACGUG